RNAcentral lists this ribosomal RNA (301 nucleotides) under uncultured bacterium. RNAcentral's name for it is "partial 16S ribosomal RNA". It matches the Rfam family "Bacterial small subunit ribosomal RNA", at positions 509 to 807 of the family's 1533-position model. The record is from RNAcentral.
CAGUCGCCGCGGUAAAACGGAGGAUCCAAGCGUUAUCCGGAAUCAUUGGGUUUAAAGGGUCCGUAGGCGGUCUUGUAAGUCAGUGGUGAAAGCCCAUCGCUCAACGGUGGAACGGCCAUUGAUACUGCAGGACUUGAAUUAUUGGGAAGUAACUAGAAUAUGUAGUGUAGCGGUGAAAUGCUUAGAGAUUACAUGGAAUACCAAUUGCGAAGGCAGGUUACUACCAAUUGAUUGACGCUGAUGGACGAAAGCGUGGGUAGCGAACAGGAUUAGAUACCCCCGUAGUCCCUGUCUCUUAUAC